CCAGACUCCUACGGGAGGCAGCAGUGGGGAAUAUUGGGCAAUGGGCGCAAGCCUGACCCAGCAACGCCGCGUGAAGGAAGAAGGCUUUCGGGUUGUAAACUUCUUUUACCAGGGACGAAGAGAGUGACGGUACCUGGAGAAUAAGCCACGGCUAACUACGUGCCAGCAGCCGCGGUAAUACGUAGGUGGCGAGCGUUGUCCGGAUUUACUGGGUGUAAAGGGCGCGUAGGCGGGAAUGCAAGUCAGAUGUGAAAUCCAUGGGCUUAACCCAUGAACUGCAUUUGAAACUGUAUUUCUUGAGUGUCGGAGAGGUAGACGGAGUUCCUAGUGUAGCGGUGAAAUGCGUAGAUAUCGCGCAGAACUCCGAUUGCGAAGGCAGCAUGCCGGCUCCACACUGACGCUGAGGCACGAAAGCGUGGGUAUCGAACAGGAUUAGAUACCCGCGUAC
This 448-nucleotide ribosomal RNA is filed under the name uncultured bacterium. RNAcentral describes it as "bacterial SSU rRNA". It matches the Rfam family "Bacterial small subunit ribosomal RNA", at positions 331 to 793 of the family's 1533-position model. The record is from RNAcentral.